This 915-nucleotide ribosomal RNA is filed under the name Triticum aestivum (bread wheat). Its description in RNAcentral is "partial small subunit ribosomal RNA". Lineage: Eukaryota; Viridiplantae; Streptophyta; Magnoliopsida; Poales; Poaceae. The record is from RNAcentral.
AUGCAUGCGCAGAGGGUGAGCGGCGAGCAGGCGGGCCCGGCGAUGCCGUGCGAGAUCGCGGCGGACGACAUGCCGGCGGCGAGGAACGGGCACUACAGGCCGGGCAAGGCGGUGACGGCGUCGGUGUACCGCGCCAAGGUGGCCGGCCACUCGCGGGUGGUGACGGUGUCGUGGUCGCGGGACCUGCUGUCGCACGCCUUCGCCGUCGCCAUCUCCGGCGCGGACGGCGCGUCGGCGGAGUGCCGUGUCGACCUGCGGCCGUGGCAGUUCUGGCGGCGCGCGGGGUCCCGGCGCGUGGACCUGGGCGGCGCCACGGUGCGCGUGCUCUGGGACCUGCGCCGCGCGCGCUGGCACGGCGCCGGCGCGGGCCUCCCGGACCCGCGCGCCGGGUACUACGUCGCCGUGGAGGCCGGCGGCGAGGUGGCGCUGGUGCUCGGCGACCUCCGCAAGGCGGCGCUCCGGCGCGCGUCGCCCAGCGCCCCGCCCGCGCUCGCCGCCGUCCCCGUCGCGCGCAGGGAGCACGUGUUCGGCCGGCGGAGGUUCGCGGCCAAGGCGCGGUUCCACGACCAGGGCGCCGUCCACGACGUGGCCAUCGACGUCGGCGGCGAGGACGACAUGGAGAUGGCCAUCGCCAUCGACGGCGAGGAGGCGGUCGCCGUCAAGCACCUGCAGUGGAAGUUCCGGGGCAACCAGUCCGUCACCUUCGGCCGGGCCAAGGUGGAGGUGUACUGGGACGUGCACGACUGGCUCUUCGCGGGCGCCGCCGGCGGCGCCCGCCCGGCGCUCUUCAUCUUCCGCCCCAUCGUGUUGUCCAGCGCGUCCGUGGGGGCCUCCACGCCGCUCCUCGCCGGCGUCGACGGCGCCGCGGGCGCCACCGGGUUCUGCCUCUACCUCUACGCCUGGAAGCUCGACUGA